This 505-nucleotide ribosomal RNA is filed under the name uncultured bacterium. RNAcentral describes it as "bacterial SSU rRNA". It matches the Rfam family "Bacterial small subunit ribosomal RNA", at positions 107 to 607 of the family's 1533-position model. The record is from RNAcentral.
UGAGUAAUGUCUGGGAAACUGCCCGAUGGAGGGGGAUAACUACUGGAAACGGUAGCUAAUACCGCAUAACGUCUUCGGACCAAAGUGGGGGACCUUCGGGCCUCACACCAUCGGAUGUGCCCAGAUGGGAUUAGCUAGAAGGUGGGGUAUGUGGCUCACCUAGGCGACGAUCCCUAGCUGGUCUGAGAGGAUGACCAGCCACACUGGAACUGAGACACGGUCCAGACUCCUACGGGAGGCAGCAGUGGGGAAUAUUGCACAAUGGGCGCAAGCCUGAUGCAGCCACGCCGCGUGUAUGAAGAAGGCCUUCGGGUUGUAAAGUACUUUCAGUGGGGAGGAAGGCGUUAAGGUUAAUAACCUUGGCGAUUGACGUUACCCGCAGAAGAAGCACCGGCUAACUCCGUGCCAGCAGCCGCGGUAAUACGGAGGGUGCAAGCGUUAAUCGGAAUUACUGGGCGUAAAGCGCACGCAGGCGGUCUGUCAAGUCGGAUGUGAAAUCCCCGGG